GCUAAGAAACUCGCCUGUUCAUAAUGUCAAAAACAAGAACAAAAUAAGUGAAAUUAUAACUAAACAUCAAAUAUUAAAUGGGUUUCUAACAAAAGUUAAAGAAUAGAAAAGAACAGAAAAAAACUCUAAUAAUGCUUGAUGAAUACUUUUGCUCUAACCUCCAAAUAUUUCAAAAAAACCUCCUCCAAAUACUUCAAGAAAACCUCUUCUAAAUUCUUGCUCCAACUCAAAAAUUGUGUUUUCU
Molecule: unclassified non-coding RNA, 244 nt
Filed under: Hevea brasiliensis (rubber tree)
Lineage: Eukaryota; Viridiplantae; Streptophyta; Magnoliopsida; Malpighiales; Euphorbiaceae
Source: RNAcentral